CCUGAGAAACGGCUACCACAUCUACGGAUGGCAGCAGGCGCGAAAAUUGCCCAAUCCCGAUUCGGGGAGGCAGUGACAAGAAAUAACAACCCAGAACAUUGUUUCCGGGAUUGCAAUGAGAACAAUUUAAAAACCUUAUCGAGUACCAACUGGAGGGCAAGUUCUGGUGCCAGCAGCCGCGGUAAUUCCAGCUCCAGUAGCGUAUAUUAAAGUUGCUGCAGUUAAAAAGCUCGUAGUUGAAUUUCUGUUUGUAAGAGUCGAAGCUUUACAGCUAAGAUUUCUUCGAACAUCUGUUUGCAAGCAUACGUUCGGCCUUCACUGGUUGGCUAUGUAAGCAAGCGCUUUACCUUGAGAAAAUUAGAGUGUUCCAGGCAGGCUUCAGCCGGAAUACAUUAGCAUGGAAUAAUGGAAUAGGACUGGGGACUAUUUAUUGGUUUGAGGCUCCAGUAAUGAUUAAUAGGAACAGUCGGGGGCAUUGGUACUUAACAGUCAGAGGUGAAAUUCUUGGAUUUGUUAAAGACUAACUAAUGCGAAAGCAUUUGCCAAGCAUGUUUUCAUUAAUCAAGAACGAAAGUUAGGGGAUCAAAGACGAUUAGAUACCGUCCUAGUCUUAACUGUAAACGAUUCCAUCUUAGAAUUGGGUGAAUAUUUGAUGAUUCAUCCAGCGCUAUAAGAGAAAUCAAAGUCUUUGGGUUCUUGGUGGAGUACGAUCGCAAGAUUGAAACUUAAAGGAAUUGACGGUUUUGCACACCAUGGAGUGGAGCCUGUGGCUUAAUUUGACUCAACACUGGGAAACUCAUCAGGACAACAAAGUUUUAGGAUUGACAGAUUGAUAGCUCUUUCUUGAUUGACUUAAUGGUGGUGCAUGGCCGUUCUUAGUUGGUGGAGUGAUUUGUCUGGUUAAUUCCGUUAACGAACGAGACCUUAACCUACUAACUAGUACGACGUGACGAACGUUAGUUACUUCUUAGAGGGACAAUGUGUAUUUUUAACACAAGGAAGUUUAAGGCAAUAACAGGUCUGUUAUGCCCAAUCACUAGU
RNAcentral lists this ribosomal RNA (1041 nucleotides) under uncultured eukaryote. RNAcentral's name for it is "SSU rRNA". It matches the Rfam family "Eukaryotic small subunit ribosomal RNA", at positions 395 to 1480 of the family's 1831-position model. The record is from RNAcentral.